AUGAAGAAGGCCAUGAGGAAGGAGAGUGGUAAGAAGCUUGUGGGCAGGGCAGUAGCAAGGGCUCUCGUGUGGCUUUUGCUUCCUGUCCUUGUCUUCGUCGUGCUCUACUCCGAUCACAUGCCGCGGGUUCUUCAAUUACAAGCAACAACUCUUUAUCCUUCAUUUAAUUCGGAUUUGGUCGGCCAUGCACCACCUUCUCCCGCAUCAAGCGAGCAGACGCUCGGCGAGGCCGUCGAUGCACCACCUUCUCCCGCAACAAGCGACCAGACGCCCGGCGCGGCCGUUGAUGCACCCCCUUCUCCGGCAUCACGCGACGAGACGCCCGGCGACGUCAUCAGUGCGAACAAAAGCCAAGGCGACAUCGCCCGUCGACAAGAUACAGAUGUGGCAGCACCAAGAAGCAAGUCAGUGUGCGACUUCAGCAGUGAACGCAUGGACAUAUGUGCCAUGCAAGGUGACGUCCGUAUGCAUGGCAAAUCCGCCACCGUGUACGUGGUCUCGGCGUCUGAUGAUAGCUACCGGCCAGAGAAUGGAACAGUGAAGAUCCACCCGUACCCGCGCAAGUCGGAGGAAGGAACGAUGCAAGCUAUCCGGGAGGUGAGCAUCCGCUGGAGCGGGCUGGAUGCGCCACGGUGCACGGUGACACACGACGUCCCCGCGGUGGUCUUCUCCACCGGCGGCUUCCUCAACAACUUUUUUCACGCCAUGACCGACGGUCUCAUCCCUCUCUUCAACACCGUGCGGGAGUACGAUGGUCGCGUCCAGCUUGUGGUCACUGACUACAACCACAAGUGGGUUGACAAGUUCCAAGACAUCCUCGCCGCGCUCUCCAUGUACCCGGUCAUCGACUUUGACGCCGACAACAAGGUGCGUUGCUUCCCGUCGGUGCACGUCGGCACCGAGAGCCAUAAGGAGAUGGGGAUCAUCCCUGCUUUCUCCCGCAAGGGCUACACGAUGACGGACUUCCGGAACUUUCUCCGGUCGGUCUACUCGCUAAAGCGUGAAUGGGCGACCCCUGUAAACAGGACCGCCGGCGACAGGCCUCGUCUCCUCAUGGUGUUGCGCCGCAAGUCGAGGGCAUUCGCGAAUGAGGCGGAGGCCGUCGCAGCUGCCACAGAUAUCGGUUUUGAGGUGGUGUUGGGGGCCCCGGAGGCCAUGGGCGACAUGGCCCGGUUCGCAGAGGUUGUGAACUCGUGCGACGUGAUGGUGGGUGUGCAUGGUGCAGGGCUCACCAACCUGGUGUUCCUCCCGCGCAACGCGACGUUGGUGCAGGUUGUCCCGUGGGGCGACAUGAGCUGGGGGGCCAAUGCUGCCUUUGGUGCGCCGUCGGCUGACAUGGGGCUCCGGUACGUCCAGUACGAGCCGACCGCCGAGGAGACGACGCUCAAGUACAUAUACCCGAGGGACCACGCCGUCUUCACCGACAUUGCCUCCAUACACAGGCAGGGGUAUGGUAUGACGUGGGCGAUCUUCCUCAACGGCCAGAAUAUCACCCUCGACAUCGACCGCUACAGAGGGGUGUUGCAGCAAAUCUACCAUGAUAGUGUAAUGGCCAAUCCUUCAUUUAAUUCUGUUCCCGUCGUCGAAGCACCGCCUUCUCCGGCAUCAACCGGCGAGACACCCGGCGACAUCCUUGAUGCGAACAGAGAUCUCCAAAACGAAAAGGGGCACCUAGCCAUGAAGGCGGGAUUAGACGGUUCUUCGAUAAAAUCAGAUGUGGCAGCACCAAGAAGCAAGUCAGUGUGCGACUUCAGCAGUGAACGCAUGGACAUAUGUACCAUGCAAGGUGACGUCCGUAUGCAUGGCAAAUCCGCCACCGUGUACGUGGUCUCGGCGUCUGAUGAUAGCUACCGGCCAGAGAAUGGAACAGUGAAGAUCCACCCGUACCCGCGCAAGUCGGAGGAAGGAACGAUGCAAGCUAUCCGGGAGGUGACCAUCCGCUGGAGCGGGCUGGAUGCGCCACGGUGCACGGUGACACACGACGUCCCCGCGGUGGUCUUCUCCACCGGCGGCUUCCUCAACAACUUUUUUCACGCCAUGACCGACGGUCUCAUCCCUCUCUUCAACACCGUGCGGGAGUACGAUGGUCGCGUCCAGCUUGUGGUCACCGACUACAACCACAAGUGGGUUGACAAGUUCCAAGACAUCCUCACCGCGCUCUCCAUGUACCCGGUCAUCGACUUUGACGCCGACGACAAGGUGCGUUGCUUCCCGUCGGUGCACGUCGGCACCGAGAGCCAUAAGGAGAUGGGGAUCAUACCUGCUCUCUCCCGCAAGGGCUACACGAUGACGGACUUCCGGAACUUUCUCCGGUCGGUCUACUCGCUGAAGCGUGAAUGGGCGACCCCUGUAAACAGGACCGCCGGCGACAGGCCUCGUCUCCUCAUGGUGUUGCGCCGCAAGUCGAGGGCAUUCGCGAAUGAGGCGGAGGCCAUCGCAGCUGCCACAGAUAUCGGUUUUGAGGUGGUGUUGGGGGCCCCGGAGGCCAUGAGCGACAUGGCCCGGUUCGCAGAGGUUGUGAACUCAUGCGAUGUGAUGGUUGGUGUGCAUGGUGCGGGGCUCACCAACCUGGUGUUCCUCCCGCGCAACGCGACGUUGGUGCAGGUCGUCCCGUGGGGCGACAUGAGCUGGGGGGCCAAUGCUGCAUUUGGUGCGCCGUCGGCUGACAUGGGGCUCCGGUAUGUCCAGUACGAGCCGACCGCCGAGGAGACGACGCUCAAGUACAUAUACCCGAGGGACCACGCCGUCUUCACCGACAUUGCCUCCAUACACAGGCAGGGGUAUGGUAUGACGUGGGCGAUCUUCCUCAACGGCCAGAACAUCACCCUCGACAUCGACCGCUACAGAGGGGUGUUGCAGCAAAUCUACCAUGAUAGUGUAAUGGCCAAUCCUUCAUUUAACUAG
RNAcentral lists this ribosomal RNA (2904 nucleotides) under Triticum aestivum (bread wheat). RNAcentral describes it as "partial small subunit ribosomal RNA". The record is from RNAcentral. Lineage: Eukaryota; Viridiplantae; Streptophyta; Magnoliopsida; Poales; Poaceae.